RNAcentral lists this ribosomal RNA (497 nucleotides) under uncultured bacterium. RNAcentral's name for it is "partial 16S ribosomal RNA". It matches the Rfam family "Bacterial small subunit ribosomal RNA", at positions 28 to 507 of the family's 1533-position model. The record is from RNAcentral.
GAUGAACGCUGGCGGCGUGCCUAAUACAUGCAAGUCGAGCGAACAGAUAAGGAGCUUGCUCCUUUGACGUUAGCGGCGGACGGGUGAGUAACACGUGGGUAACCUACCUAUAAGACUGGGAUAACUUCGGGAAACCGGAGCUAAUACCGGAGAAUAUUUCGAACCGCAUGGUUCGAUAGUGAAAGAUGGUUUUGCUAUCACUUAUAGAUGGACCCGCGCCGUAUUAGCUAGUUGGUAAGGUAACGGCUUACCAAGGCGACGAUACGUAGCCGACCUGAGAGGGUGAUCGGCCACACUGGAACUGAGACACGGUCCAGACUCCUACGGGAGGCAGCAGUAGGGAAUCUUCCGCAAUGGGCGAAAGCCUGACGGAGCAACGCCGCGUGAGUGAUGAAGGUCUUCGGAUCGUAAAACUCUGUUAUUAGGGAAGAACAUAAGUGUAAGUAACUGUGCACGUCUUGACGGUACCUAAUCAGAAAGCCACGGCUAACUACGUG